This 221-nucleotide long non-coding RNA is filed under the name Brassica napus (rape). Its description in RNAcentral is "long non-coding RNA (BNAP_LNC024648)". Lineage: Eukaryota; Viridiplantae; Streptophyta; Magnoliopsida; Brassicales; Brassicaceae. The record is from RNAcentral.
GUGAGCAAAGUGAACCAUGCUCUGAUACCACCUUAGUUGUAACAACCCCGCUCCAGAAUAAGUAAAAGUUAAUUAGUUUGCCAUCCACCAAUCAAACAAGAACAUGCAUGACGAACUAAAGAACUCUAACCAGGUCGAAGAUACUACUACCACGUGCCCAAACAUUUGACCCGAGGUUCCCGGAUCAGAUCCGAAAUCCCAAGAUAAUAUGUCCAAGAACG